CUCAUACUAGACCAUAGGACACCUGAGGUGUUCACUCACACUAGACCAUAGGACACCUGAGGUGUUCACUCACACUAGACCAUAGGACACCUGAGGUGUUCACUCACACUAGACCAUAGGACACCUGAGGUGAUCUACUCACACUAGACCAUAGGACACCUGAGGUGAUCUACUCACACUAGACCAUAGGACACCUGAGGUGAUCUACUCACACUAGACCAUAGGACACCUGAGGUGAUCUACUCACACUAGACCAUAGGACACCUGAGGUGAUCUACUCACACUAGA
This is a long non-coding RNA of Apodemus sylvaticus (European woodmouse), 288 nucleotides long. RefSeq lists it as uncharacterized. The record is from RefSeq and is a predicted model, not a curated record. Lineage: Eukaryota; Metazoa; Chordata; Mammalia; Rodentia; Muridae. The transcript is spliced from 4 exons.